AUUGAACGCUGGCGGUAUGCUUAAGACAUGCAAGUCGUGCGGUAGGGGCUUCGGCCCUGAGAGCGGCGCACGGGUGCGUAACGCGUGGGGAUCUGCCCUUUGCUUCGGAAUAACAGUUAGAAAUGACUGCUAAUACCGGAUGAUGUCGUAAGACCAAAGAUUUAUCGGCAAAGGAUGAACCCGCGUAGGAUUAGCUAGUUGGUGGGGUAAAGGCCUACCAAGGCGACGAUCCUUAGCUGGUCUGAGAGGAUGAUCAGCCACACUGGGACUGAGACACGGCCCAGACUCCUACGGGAGGCAGCAGUGGGGAAUAUUGGACAAUGGGCGAAAGCCUGAUCCAGCAAUGCCGCGUGAGUGAUGAAGGCCUUAGGGUUGUAAAGCUCUUUUACCCGGGAUGAUAAUGACAGUACCGGGAGAAUAAGCUCCGGCUAACUCCGUGCCAGCAGCCGCGG
This 452-nucleotide ribosomal RNA is filed under the name uncultured bacterium. Its description in RNAcentral is "bacterial SSU rRNA". It matches the Rfam family "Bacterial small subunit ribosomal RNA", at positions 30 to 520 of the family's 1533-position model. The record is from RNAcentral.